UUAGAUCACCGAAGUUAAGCAUCAUUGGGCGCGGUCAGUACUUGGGUGGGUGACCACCUGGGAACACUGCGUGCCGUU
RNAcentral lists this ribosomal RNA (78 nucleotides) under Caerostris darwini. The record is from RNAcentral. Lineage: Eukaryota; Metazoa; Arthropoda; Arachnida; Araneae; Araneidae.